RNAcentral lists this ribosomal RNA (497 nucleotides) under uncultured bacterium. RNAcentral describes it as "partial 16S ribosomal RNA". It matches the Rfam family "Bacterial small subunit ribosomal RNA", at positions 28 to 507 of the family's 1533-position model. The record is from RNAcentral.
GAUGAACGCUGGCGGCGUGCCUAAUACAUGCAAGUCGAGCGAACAGACGAGGAGCUUGCUCCUCUGACGUUAGCGGCGGACGGGUGAGUAACACGUGGAUAACCUACCUAUAAGACUGGGAUAACUUCGGGAAACCGGAGCUAAUACCGGAUAAUAUAUUGAACCGCAUGGUUCAAUAGUGAAAGACGGUUUUGCUGUCACUUAUAGAUGGAUCCGCGCCGCAUGAGCUAGUUGGUAAGGUAACGGCUUACCAAGGCAACGAUGCGUAGCCGACCUGAUAGGGGGAUCGGCCACACUGGAGCUGAGACACGCUCCAUAGUCCUACGGUAGGCAGCAGUAGGGAAUCUUCCGCAAUGGGCGAAAGCCUGACGGAGCAACGCCGCGUGAGUGAUGAAGGUCUUCGGAUCGUAAAACUCUGUUAUUAGGGAAGAACAAAUGUGUAAGUAACUAUGCACGUCUUGACGGUACCUAAUCAGAAAGCCACGGCUAACUACGUG